Molecule: ribosomal RNA, 253 nt
Filed under: uncultured bacterium
Lineage: Bacteria
Description: partial 16S ribosomal RNA
Rfam family: Bacterial small subunit ribosomal RNA
Source: RNAcentral
GACGUAGGGCGCGAGCGUUGUCCGGAUUUAUUGGGCGUAAAGAGCUCGUAGGCGGCUUGUCGCGUCGUCCGUGAAAACUUGGGGCUCAACCCCAAGCUUGCGGUCGAUACGGGCAGGCUCGAGUUCGGUAGGGGAGACUGGAAUUCCUGGUGUAGCGGUGAAAUGCGCAGAUAUUAGGAGGAACACCGGUGGCGAAGGCGGGUCUCUGGGCCGAUACUGACGCUGAGGAGCGAAAGCGUGGGGAGCGAACAGG